Molecule: ribosomal RNA, 472 nt
Filed under: uncultured bacterium
Lineage: Bacteria
Description: bacterial SSU rRNA
Rfam family: Bacterial small subunit ribosomal RNA
Source: RNAcentral
AGGACACGCUGGCGGCGUGCCUAACACAUGCAAGUCGAGCGGAGAUACAUUGAAGAGCAAUCAGAUAUGUAUCUUAGCGGCGGACGGGUGAGUAACGCGUGGGCAACCUGCCUCAUACAGGGGGAUAACACAGGGAAACUUGUGCUAAUACCGCAUGAAAUCAUAGUAUGGCAUCAUACAAUGAUCAAAGGAGCAAUCCGGUAUGAGAUGGGCCCGCGUCCGAUUAGCUAGUUGGUGAGGUAACGGCUCACCAAGGCGACGAUCGGUAGCCGAACUGAGAGGUUGAUCGGCCACAUUGGGACUGAGACACGGCCCAGACUCCUACGGGAGGCAGCAGUGGGGAAUAUUGCGCAAUGGGGGAAACCCUGACGCAGCAACGCCGCGUGAAGGAAGAAGGCCUUCGGGUUGUAAACUUCUUUGAUAGGGGACGAUAAUGACGGUACCCUAAAAACAAGCCACGGCUAACUACGUG